This 433-nucleotide ribosomal RNA is filed under the name uncultured bacterium. RNAcentral's name for it is "partial 16S ribosomal RNA". It matches the Rfam family "Bacterial small subunit ribosomal RNA", at positions 29 to 507 of the family's 1533-position model. The record is from RNAcentral.
AACGAACGCUGGCGGCAUGCCUAACACAUGCAAGUCGAACGAGACCUUCGGGUCUGGUGGCGCACGGGUGCGUAACGCGUGGGAACCUGCCCUUAGGUUCGGAAUAACUCCCCGAAAGGGGUGCUAAUACCGGAUAAUGUCUUCGGACCAAAGAUUUAUCGCCUUUGGAUGGGCUCGCGUUGGAUUAGCUUGUUGUUAGGGUAAAAGCCUAUCAAGGCGACGAUCCGUAGCUGGUUUGAGAGGAUGAGCAGCGACACUGGGACUGAGACACGGUCCAGACUCUUACGGGAGGCAGCAGUGGGGAAUAUUGGACAACGGGCGAAAGCAUGAACCAGCAAGGCCGCGUGAGUGAUGAAGGCCUUAGGGUUGUAAAGCACGUUUACCCGGGAUGAUAAUGACAGUACCGGGAGAAUAAGCACCGGCUAACUCCGUG